Molecule: unclassified non-coding RNA, 467 nt
Filed under: Hevea brasiliensis (rubber tree)
Lineage: Eukaryota; Viridiplantae; Streptophyta; Magnoliopsida; Malpighiales; Euphorbiaceae
Source: RNAcentral
CAGCUUACUCUUUUACAGAGAGAUUCUGUUGGUCUUACCAACCAGAAUAAUGAAUUGAAGUUUCGUCUACAAGCCAUGGAGCAACAGGCACAACUCCGAGAUGCUCUAAAUGAAGCAUUGACUGCUGAGGUUCGACGAUUAAAGAUUGCUACUGCAGAGAUCAGUGGGGAUUCUGACCCAACCAAGGGCNUGCUUUCAUUUCUUAGAUUUCCCAGUCGGGGCAGCCACAGUCUUCCCAACAGAACAUCCAUCAAUUGCAGCAGCAGCAACAAUCACCUUCCCAGCUCAACAUGCAUCAGUUGCAGCAACAGCCGCAGCUACAACAACGAAAUGGAAACACACCUUCGAAUGCAGAGUCUAAUCAAUAGGUUGUGAAGGAUAAGAUGGCUACUGUUGCUUAUUAUUUAUAUUUACAGUUUCUGGUGCUAAGUAUUUGUUUCUUCGGUGCAAUUGAUGGAUGUUCUGUU